AGUCUUCUGUGUGUCAGCUUGGUGGGCCUGUUGCCCCAAAGGGUUUUGGUUGAGAGGCCAGAGGAGUAAGUUCUCAGAUGAGAGUUAAAAGAUGUGUGUGAUGGAUGGAUGGAUACAUAGAAGUGUAUUUCUCUACAGGUCAAGAUGCGUGGUAUUCCCCAAGUUACAAGUCACAUAAAAUGGAGAAGAUGCGUGUCAGAUGUGGAACACACAAAACUAGACUGUGACCCGGUCCUAGUGGCUCAUUCAUCCUCGUCUUUCAACGCUCAGCUCAGAUGUCACCUCCUUGAUAUCUUCAGCUUGAUUGAGUGGAUGAUCACCUCCUUCCAGACUUGGGAACCUUUCAUUUUUACCACUCUGUGGCUGUUUUCUUGCUCCUGUAUGACACACAGCUGCUCACCCUGAUGGCUAGCCGGUGGGUGCAAUGAAAUGGAAUUCAAUUCAGUAAAUACUCACUGGAGUUUCUAACCGGUGUCAGGGUCAUACUUGGCACUGGAAACGCAGAGAUAAGUAAGAUGAUGGUGGAAAUAAAGAUGGCAACUGUCAUGGAUGGAAUUGGAUCUCACCAAAAUUCCUGUGUUGAAGUCCUAACCGCCAAUGUGACUAUAUUUGGAGACGAAGCCUUUAAGGGGGUAAUUAACGUUAAUGAGGUCACAAGAGCUGGGCUCUAAUCCAAUAGGAUUGGUACCCAUAUAAGAAAAGGAAGAGACGCCAGAGGUCUUUCCACACACUGAGGAAAGGCCAUAUGAAGACACAGUCAAAGGUGGCAUCUUCCAGCCAGGAAGAGAGGGCUUGCUGUAACCAAUCCUGCUGGCAUCUUGAUCUUGGACUUCCAGCCUCCCAAAUAGUGGAAAAAACAAAUGUCUGUUGUUAAAACCACCCAGUCAUUUAUGCAGCCUGAACAGGCUCAGACAGCAGCCUCCUUAGCAGCUCACUGCCUUUGAGAGAGCACGCUGGGUGAGCCACUGGGCUGGGCACUGAGGAUAGUCACGAUGAACAAGCCAUGGUCUCUGUCCCCCUUGAUCAUGCCAAGCGUCCAGAGAGGUUCAUUUGACCCAUUUGAAUUGAAUAGUUGGGCUUUCCAUGAAUGAGCCAAGAAGUCCAAUGCACGUGGAUGAAGACAGUGCAGGGAGAAAAUGGACUGGAUGAAGACGGAGAACAAAGAAGGAGCUGGGAGGCCACUGCCGACAUUGAGUGGGUACGUGUCAGUGGCCUACCAUAUGCCACACAAGAGGCUCGGCACUGUGAGCAAGUGAUGAGCAUGUCCGACCCUCGGCUGUCCUCCUGCCGGAACGAAACUAAGACCCCAAGAUCCCAAGGUUUGUGGCUGUAGAUGAAUCUGAAGGAGACUUCCAGUGGCCUUGAGG
Molecule: long non-coding RNA, 1367 nt
Organism: Camelus dromedarius (Arabian camel)
Lineage: Eukaryota; Metazoa; Chordata; Mammalia; Artiodactyla; Camelidae
Exons: 6
Source: RefSeq, a predicted model, not a curated record